ACAGGAUCAUAGCAUAAUACUGAAUCCAGCGAAGCCUCUGUUUGAAGGUCUUUGCCUGCAACUACAUAGAUUUUAUCAUCCACCUCUCCCAGACCGAAGAGACACCUGGCUGAAGGCAGAGGUGGAAGUCCAACCCAUUCAGAUGCUCAGAUAAAAAGUACUCACGGAAGUAAGGACUACAAGCUGACAAAAUCAAUCUGUGGC
Molecule: long non-coding RNA, 204 nt
Filed under: Homo sapiens (human)
Lineage: Eukaryota; Metazoa; Chordata; Mammalia; Primates; Hominidae
Description: HSALNT0042811
Source: RNAcentral